This 468-nucleotide ribosomal RNA is filed under the name uncultured bacterium. RNAcentral describes it as "partial 16S ribosomal RNA". It matches the Rfam family "Bacterial small subunit ribosomal RNA", at positions 28 to 507 of the family's 1533-position model. The record is from RNAcentral.
GACGAACGCUGGCGGCGUGCUUAACACAUGCAAGUCGAACGGAAAGGCCCUGCUUUUGUGGGGUGCUCGAGUGGCGAACGGGUGUGUAACACGUGAGUAACCUGCCCUUGACUUUGGGAUAACUUCAGGAAACUGGGGCUAAUACCGGAUAGGAGCUCCUGCUGCAUGGUGGGGGUUGGAAAGUUUCGGCGGUUGGGGAUGGACUCGCGGCUUAUCAGCUUGUUGGUGGGGUAGUGGCUUACCAAGGCUUUGACGGGUAGCCGGCCUGAGAGGGUGACCGGCCACAUUGGGACUGAGAUACGGCCCAGACUCCUACGGGAGGCAGCAGGGGGGAAUAUUGCACAAUGGGCGGAAGCCGGAGGCAGCAACGCCGCGUGCGGGAUGACGGCCUUCGGGUUGUAAACCGCUUUCGCCUGUGACGAAGCGUGAGUGACGGUAAUGGGUAAAGAAGCACCGGCUAACUACGUG